This 450-nucleotide ribosomal RNA is filed under the name uncultured bacterium. Its description in RNAcentral is "bacterial SSU rRNA". It matches the Rfam family "Bacterial small subunit ribosomal RNA", at positions 354 to 796 of the family's 1533-position model. The record is from RNAcentral.
GUGGGGAAUUUUGCACAAUGGGCGAAAGCCUGAUGCAGCGAUGCCGCGUGAGUGAUGAAGGCCUUCGGGUCGUAAAGCUCUGUCGGCCGGGAAAAAAAGUCUUCAACUAACAUUUGAAGAAAAUGAUGGUACCGGCAAAGGAAGGGGCGGCUAACUCUGUGCCAGCAGCCGCGGUAAUACAGAGGCCCCGAGCGUUGUUCGGAUUUACUGGGCGUAAAGCGGGUGUAGGUGGUGACGUAAGUCAGAUGUGAAAGCCCUGGGCUCAACCCGGGAAUUGCAUUUGAUACUGCGUUGCUCGAGUACGGGAGAGGAAAGUGGAAUUUCUAGUGUAGGGGUGAAAUCCGUAGAUAUUAGAAGGAAUACCGAUGGCGAAGGCAACUUUCUGGCCCGUAACUGACACUAAGAUCCGAAAGCGUGGGUAGCAAACAGGAUUAGAUACCCCUGUAGUCC